AUGCAAAUUCUAAAAUGUUUGUUUCACUCGAACUAUGCUAUGCACUGGCAUAGUAAACACAACUACAAAACGGUUACGUCAAAUGCUGCAAACAACAAUAUAAACUUCAAAGUUGCCCGAGGUGGAAGUAAAAGAAAGAGUAGCAUAAACGUCAGAGCCAAGGAUUUUAGGCCAGAGAGAAGGGGAAAACUGAGAGUUCAACUCUGCUGUCCUCCAGAAGGUUUUUGGCGAAGGAUUGUCUAUCAAAACUGUUCUAGCCUCUUAUUUCCUACAUAAUCCCAAGCAAAUGCUGUGAGAAGAAAGGAGUAGUGCCAUUGCCAAGUUGACAUGGGAGAACGCAGAAUUUCACUCCCAGAUCUAUUUACCCAUUGCACACCUGUAUUCUGUGUGACGUACUCUUUUAUUCUUGUGAAAAACAUUUCACAUUCACACGUUCCAAUAAAACUGAAAUAAGCCACGUUCA
This 463-nucleotide long non-coding RNA is filed under the name Felis catus (domestic cat). RNAcentral's name for it is "lncRNA (ENSFCAG00000052901.1)". Lineage: Eukaryota; Metazoa; Chordata; Mammalia; Carnivora; Felidae. The record is from RNAcentral.